AAGCUCUAAGCUGGCACCAGCCAGCCCAAUUUAAGGUCAGGUUUUGCAUAGGAGAUUCAGACAGGAAACAGACAGGCGUCAAAGCAACCCGGAGGGCAGCGAAACAACACCGCUCUGUCCACAGACUGCACACGGAGAUGUGCUAUGUCAUCUGCUGCCUGGAACUUGCCAAGUGGGCCAAUCUGGCUGGCCAACCAAUGCCAGGGAUCUGCCUGUUUCUGCCUUUCCAGCGAGGGCAUCACGAGAAAAACCCAAGUGUCGAGGCAUCUGAAGCUGAAACAAUGUGAUUGGACCACUCUGUGCUGUUUAAAAGGAGAAGCGAUGUUUGGAGGAAGUGGAGAUGGUCCAGGGUGCUAUUCUGUCGAGUUGGCACCUUCAGAUCAAACACAGUUGGCUGUUAGGACCGUCGCUCUCUGAUGUGGUUGUUAAACAAGUGUGGCAGAGAUCUUUGCUGUGUUUUACUCCUUUCCUUGCUUGAAAACAGAAAGCCUUGAGCUUCAGUUGUGACAUGGGGUCUCCCUUACCUAUUCAUGGGUUUUCUUAAUGCUCUUAAAGUGGACUUCGUAGGCAGGUGGGGGUGAGCACAGUUCCCCAAAUCUCUAAAUAGAGGUAUGACAGAGCUCAGAUGAGACAAGCCAGACACCUGCUUGUGCCGGUUUAGUGUUUGGGUUUGGCUUGUCUCCCAUGCUCAGAAGCCCAGCUUUCAUCUUCUCACCGAGCACAACAUUUGUUUGGAUCAGAAGACUGGAAGACUAAUAGCACCAAGGCGGAGACUCUCCCUCUCAGGCACAUUUCCUUCUUCGGCCACAAAUGGCAACCAAGGAGAUGAAGCGGAGCAGAGGGGCCUCAACAGAAAGAACUGUGCUGGAGAGGAGGAACACGAAUGUCAUGUUUGCCGCUCGGGGGCAAGAAAACAGCGUGGGAAAGGCCAACUAAAUGCUGUCUGACCUGACUGUGGGCAGAGGUGCCCUUUCCCUGUGGGGGACUCUCGCAAGACUGUUAGAGCUGAGAAUCAGGGUCAGUGCACUUUGACUUUAUCCCCAGAAGAUGGAAUCUUGGUAACAGAUCUUUCGAGAACCUUCCCCAUGGUCCAUUUAUUGGAAUGAAAUCCAACUAUAAAUAUG
Molecule: non-coding RNA, 1124 nt
Organism: Myodes glareolus (Bank vole)
Lineage: Eukaryota; Metazoa; Chordata; Mammalia; Rodentia; Cricetidae
Source: RefSeq, a predicted model, not a curated record